ACAUUACAGUGUGGCCCGCCCUAGUUGAGAUGAGGACCGUGGGUGAGGCGGUGUCACAGAAGGACUGGAGCUGCCUUACCUGGGCUGUGGAAAUGUGUGUGAGUGGGAUGGCUGAACACAGGAAGAGAUUCUGGAACUGCAUCUCUGUGGAAGAGAAAGAGUGAGCCGAGUCAGGGGGCGAGCAUGGGAUGGAGCAGUGUGAGUACGAGCCCACAGCGUUUACUGUCAGCGUGACCCUUGUUCUGGGAUUUAGAAAUCGCUCAUAGAGAUGGGAGUCCGUGGCGCAGGACGUACGGAUGAUGGCGGGCGAGAUAGUGUGCUGCUUGCCAUGGGGCUUGAGCCUGACUCCCACCAUGUGAAGGAAGCUUCAGUGCUGCUGCCUCCCCCUCUCCCUCCCUCCCCUCCCCCUCCCCUCCCCCCUCUUCCCCUCUCCAUUUGUCAGGGGUGGGGCGGGGGAGACUGAAGAGGAUUUCAGUAGCGGUCAGAUGAUUAACUUUGUGUCCCAAGAUGAAACUUGGGGUUUAAUCUGUAGACACAAAGAAGCCUGAACAUGCUUUCUCUAUGAAAGAUGUGGUUUUUGGAAGGUUCUGUAGAAAGUCUUCUAGUAGCAGUGUGUGGAGAGGCAGAUGGGGCAGGUAGAAGGUGUUGGCAGGAGAGAUUAGAGACAGUGUAAUAUACAGCCUUGUGACAAUGAGCAUGGCAGCUGGAGUGAGGACACAGAGGAAUAAAGCAACCAGUAGCCUUGAGUUAGUGACUUUCUGGGUGUGGAAGAAGGGAAUUCAGGAGCUCGUUCAGGUUUCAGGGAGUUGAACAUGUGGGAAGAAAAGCUUUGGGGGCGAGGGGACUGGCAGGUCUGACACCAAGGAGCGGUGCCACAUCACAUUCCUGGGCCUCCUGUGUGGGGCUGGGCUCAGGCAAGGCAGGGCGCUUCACUGCACCAGCUGUUUCUGGACUCCAGGAAUUUGUAGCUACCACUCCCUCCCUCCCUCCCUCCCUCCCUCCCUGGCCCUCCUCCUCUCCCUCCCUGUCUUUCACCAAGAUGGAUUACAUAAUGGAUCUACCACUCAGUGACAAAAUUUUCAUCUUUUUUUAGAUUUAAUAAUGAUUGACAAGACCAUAGGAUAAGAGGGAUACAGUUCCACACAAUUCCCACCUCUGUAGUUCUUCAUCCCAUCCCCUUCAUUGGGAGCGUGGACCCAGGAUCAUUACAGGGUGCAGAAGGUGGAAGGUCUGGCUUCUGUAAUUUCUCCACUGGACAUGGGUGUUGGCAGGUGGAUCCAUAUUUCCAGCCUGUUUCUAUUGUUCCCUAGUAGGACAGGGCUUUUGGGGUGAUGGGGUUCCAGGAGAGAGAGACAGACAGACAGACACUGCCAGCACUGCUUUUCUACUAGUGUAGCAACCCCCCUGCAGAUGAGGACCAGGGACUUGAACCUGGGAAGUUAGGCGUGAUGAUGUGUAUGUUCACAACUGCUCCCCCACCCCCCUUAAUAUUUGAAGCACAUCACUUUGUCACGUCUGAUCUUUCUGGUUUAAUUAAAUUUUUUUUUUUUUAACCAGAGCACUGCUCAGCUCUGGCUUAUGGUGGUGUGGGGGAUUGAACCUGGGACUUUGGAGCCUCAGGCAUGAGAGACUCUUUGCAUAACCAUUAUGCUAUCUACCCCCACCCUUAAUUUUCUUUUCUUUCUUUUAUUAUUAUUAUUUAUUGGAUAGAGACAGCCAGAAAUCAAGAGGGAAGGGGUGAUAGAGAGACAGAGAAACCUACAAACCUGCUUCACCACUUGCAAAGCUUUCCCCCUGCAGGUGGGGACGGGGGCUUGAACCCAGGUCCUUGAGCAUUGUAACAUGUGCGUUCAACCAGCUGUGUCACCACCCGGCCCCAGUAGUAGUGUCUUUUAACUGCAGGAAUUUAUUCUGAGAAAUAGUUGUAGGCCCCUUCCUCCUUUUGUAAACAUUACAGAGCAAAAUUGUGCGAGCCUAGGUAGAUCAGUCCAUCCCUACCUAGACUGCAUGGUACAGAGUCACACUGGAAGACCCGUAGCUAGCAGCGAAUUGUUGUCAAGGUUGUCCAGGUAGCUUGAGAGUUCCAGAGGAGUCCUGUCCGCUGUCAUCACUCUAACGACGAAGCAAGGGCAUCAAACCGACUUCCAGCAUCACACUUUGAAUAGUGGUCUCUGGCUUUCUGCCUUUAUCCUGUGGAUUGUUUUUAGUUUUAGGAUUUUUUUAAUUUACCAGAGCACUGCUCAGCUCUGGCUUAUGGUGGUGUGGAGUCUUUAUAACCUGGGACCUUUGGUGACUCACACAUGGAAGGUUUUUUUUUCGUAGAACCAUUGUGCUAUCUCCCUAGCCCACACUUACUUUCUUUUACUUGGUGACCAGAAGUGAAGUUGGGUUUUUUUUUUUUUUUUUUUUUUGCCUCCAGGGUUAUUGCUGGGGCUCAAUGCCUGCACUACGAAUCCACUGCUCCUGGAGGCCAUUUUUUCCCUUUUGUUGCCCUUCCUUGUUGUUUAUUGGUGGUGGUGUUACUAUUGGUGGUGGUGUUGUUGGAUAGGAGAGAGAAAUGGAGAGGGGGAGAGAAGGAGAGACACCUGCGGACCUGCUUCACUGUCUGCGAAGUGACUCCCCUGCAGGUGGGGAGCCGGGGUCUUGAACCAGGAUCUCAAACUGGGAUCCUUCCGCAGGUCCUUGCGCUUUGCGCCACAUGCGCUUAACCCACUGCGCUACCGCCCGGCCCCCAAAGUUGGGGUUUUGAACAUGUGAUACUGCUGAGUGGCCUCCCAGAUUACCACCACCACCCACCUUUCUUUUUGCCUGCCUGCCUGCCCGCCUACCUGCCUGCCUUCCUUCCUUCCUACUGUCCUUCCUUCCUUGCUUUCUUUCUGUUUAGACAGAGGGAAAGAUACCACAGCACGCUCUUCCAAUUACAUUGCUUACAUGUGGUUUAGUCCAGGGCUCGAGUUCAGGACUCUGUCCACAGUGAAGUCUACUAAGCAAGCUAGCCGCCAUCUCUGUUUCUAUCUUCAAGUCAGUCUGAGCCCGCUCCUUGCCUCUGCCAUGCCCGUUGAUUUGCAUGUAGUGUCAGUGAGGCCUGUGUACUGUGUCUCCCAGCUGUGGUGCCUGGCACAGCACUCCACAGCAGUGUCGGGCCAGUUUGGGAAGUUGUCUGUAUCGAGAGCCCUCUCCAGCCAUCUAUGCUUCUCUUCCUAAUUGUCAUCCUACUAGUCAGGAAAGUUUUCUGACUGAACAGUCUGCUAAAAAGCCCACGUGUUUCUGAAUUUAGGAGAAACUGCUCUUUUUGUAAUUGAAAGGCAUUUCUUGAGUGACUGUGCUGAUAAACUUGUCAUAGGCCUGGCUGCUGCCUACACAGACUUUACAAGAACCAGAGCCAUUCUUUGAUUCAUAACUCGUGGGUGUUAUUAAACGCUGGCCCAAACACCAUCUUGACUGUCUGUUCUUGAGCCUGUGACUUUUUGAGGGUCCUUGUGCACGGUAAGGGGUGCACUGUACUUGGUGAGCUCUCUCCCUGCCUCCCUUAGAGCUUUUGAAUCCAGUGCUCACAACUCCCAUAUUACAGAGAAGGUGUUCAGUGGGGUACUUCGAUUAAACAGUUUCGUCUUGACGCUUCCUUCCCUAUGGCAUUGAAGCUGUCACUGCUCACUUGAAGUGUAAUGGAACUAGUAGUGGAUUGCUAAACGUCCAAACCUCAGUGUCUGACUUUGGAGCAGGCGGCCUUGACUUUGUGAGAACCAUGAAGCCGUCCACGCGACACGAGAAUACAGUAUGCAGAGGGAUUCAGUGCCCCGCCGCUCAUCUCAAGCCCGGUGUUGAGUUUUCUAGUUUUUCUGCUGGUUAUUUGUAUAUCUCAGAGGUAAUGAAAGGGUCCUCUGCUCUCCCUCUCAACUUUGACUUGUCCAUGUUUAACAGUCUGGGCUGAUGCUGCCUUCAUGGAAUGUGCAAAAUUCGCAAAUGCCCCUUGAUACACCGUCAGUGACAUUCACCUUAGCCUUUUACUCACCCGGUGCCUUGCCUUGUGGUGUGUGUGACCCAGGUUUGAGCCCCAGCACCACCACCUGUGAAUGCCACAGUGCAGGGGGAGGGAAGCCUUGGUGCUGUGUCUCUCCCUCUCUCCCUGUCUGUCUCUUUUUCUCUAUCUGACGUAGAAAGGAAUGAGAAAGUCAUCUCAGGAGUGGGUAAACCACACAUGUGCAAGGCCCAGGCACAACAAAACAAGACAAAAACAAUAUCAACAGCAGCAGUCAUUCCCCCCCCCCCAAGAAAAAAAAAAACCAGAAGCAGCCAGCCUGAAGAGCUAUGGUGUACUUACCCCUGGAACAUGGGAGGGCGGGGACCUGUGCAGUCUUAACAAUCUGGUAACCCACUGUUGGUCACAAAGUAAAUAAAUGAAUGUAAAAAAAAAAA
Molecule: long non-coding RNA, 4416 nt
Organism: Erinaceus europaeus (western European hedgehog)
Lineage: Eukaryota; Metazoa; Chordata; Mammalia; Eulipotyphla; Erinaceidae
Exons: 2
Source: RefSeq, a predicted model, not a curated record